CUGAUUUGGGUGCAGCUACUUGGAGUGCGGCAGCCUUUUCAUUUACACGGAGUUCUCUUCCAUGUCACUUUACCAAUUCUUCAUGGAGGUAGUAACUGAUGAAAUUGGAUGGCUUGAUUUUUAUGGAAAUUGUUCUUUCACUAGCAAUUACGAAAGAAGGUCCAAGCAGCAUGCGAUUCAAGCAGAGAAAGAAAUCAUACUGUCAAAUGUUUUUACUGUUUGCUAUGAUGUUUUUUCUGGGUUUGCGCACUUCAGCCGCUUGGCUCAGCACCCUUAUAUUCUCAAUUGUUAGCAUUCUUGCUCCAGAGCCAAAGGCUGUUAUCUUUAUGCCUGGAAGAUUACUGGGCUGCUUAUGAUAGAUUGGGGUAAGUUGGUUGUUUCAUAUGGCAUUUCCAUGGUGUUUUCCGCAGUAGAACGAGCUUUGCACUAAAGAGUACAUUAUUGAGCUAAUAUUGAAUUAUCUAGCAGGGAACUGUUAAAGAUUACAGACUCGGGUGCCUCUAAGCAUGGACCAUCUA
Long non-coding RNA from Hibiscus syriacus, 518 nucleotides. RefSeq lists it as uncharacterized. The transcript is spliced from 3 exons. Lineage: Eukaryota; Viridiplantae; Streptophyta; Magnoliopsida; Malvales; Malvaceae. The record is from RefSeq and is a predicted model, not a curated record.